This 101-nucleotide transfer RNA is filed under the name Malassezia restricta. RNAcentral's name for it is "tRNA-Lys". It matches the Rfam family "tRNA". Rfam says of the family: Transfer RNA (tRNA) molecules are approximately 80 nucleotides in length. Their secondary structure includes four short double-helical elements and three loops (D, anti-codon, and T loops). The record is from RNAcentral. Lineage: Eukaryota; Fungi; Basidiomycota; Malasseziomycetes; Malasseziales; Malasseziaceae.
UCCCGGCUAGCUCAGUCGGUAGAGCGUCAGACUCUUAAUAGAGUCUCUUCGAAUGCGAAGAGUAAUCUGAAUGUCGUGGGUUCGAGCCCCACGUUGGGAGU